GGCUCAGAUUGAACGCUGGCGGCAGGCCUAACACAUGCAAGUCGAGCGGUAGAGAGRWGCUUGCWYCUCUUGAGAGCGGCGGACGGGUGAGUAAUGCCUAGGAAUCUGCCUGGUAGUGGGGGAUAACGCUCGGAAACGGACGCUAAUACCGCAUACGUCCUACGGGAGAAAGCAGGGGACCUUCGGGCCUUGCGCUAUCAGAUGAGCCUAGGUCGGAUUAGCUAGUUGGUGAGGUAAUGGCUCACCAAGGCGACGAUCCGUAACUGGUCUGAGAGGAUGAUCAGUCACACUGGAACUGAGACACGGUCCAGACUCCUACGGGAGGCAGCAGUGGGGAAUAUUGGACAAUGGGCGAAAGCCUGAUCCAGCCAUGCCGCGUGUGUGAAGAAGGUCUUCGGAUUGUAAAGCACUUUAAGUUGGGAGGAAGGGCAUUAACCUAAUACGUUAGUGU
Molecule: ribosomal RNA, 451 nt
Filed under: Pseudomonas sp. R-46171
Lineage: Bacteria; Pseudomonadati; Pseudomonadota; Gammaproteobacteria; Pseudomonadales; Pseudomonadaceae
Description: bacterial SSU rRNA
Rfam family: Bacterial small subunit ribosomal RNA
Source: RNAcentral